RNAcentral lists this ribosomal RNA (342 nucleotides) under Listeria monocytogenes. Its description in RNAcentral is "partial 23S ribosomal RNA". It matches the Rfam family "Bacterial large subunit ribosomal RNA", at positions 1 to 335 of the family's 2925-position model. The record is from RNAcentral. Lineage: Bacteria; Bacillati; Bacillota; Bacilli; Caryophanales; Listeriaceae.
AGUAAAUUGGUUAAGUUAGAAAGGGCGCACGGUGGAUGCCUUGGCACUAGGAGCCGAAGAAGGACGGGACUAACACCGAUAUGCUUUGGGGAGCUGUACGUAAGCGUUGAUCCAGAGAUUUCCGAAUGGGGGAACCCACUAUCUUUAGUCGGAUAGUAUCCUUACGUGAAUACAUAGCGUAAGGAAGGCAGACCCAGGGAACUGAAACAUCUAAGUACCUGGAGGAAGAGAAAGAAAAAUCGAUUUCCUGAGUAGCGGCGAGCGAAACGGAAAGAGCCCAAACCAAGAAGCUUGCUUCUUGGGGUUGUAGGACACUCUAUACGGAGUUACAAAAGAAAGUUA